AGUGAUCGCUGGCGGCGUGCUUAACACAUGCAAGUCGAGCGAAUUUCAGCAGCGUAUCGCUGGAGUUAGCGGCAGACGGGUGAGUAAUACUUGGGCAAUCUGCCCUUGAGUGGGAAACAACCGGCCGAAAGGCUGGCUAAUGUCCCAUAAGACCACAGGAUGGCGUCAUCCAGGGGUCAAAGCUCCGCAAGGGGCGCUUGAGGAGGAGCCUGAGGCCUAUCAUGGUAGUUGGUGAGGUAACGGCUCACCAAGCCUUUGACGGGUAGCCGGCCUGAAAGGGUGAUCGGCCACACUGGCACUGAGACACGGGCCAGACUCCUACGGGAGGCAGCAGUGGGGAAUUUUGGACAAUGGCGCAAGCCUGAUCCAGCGAUGCCGCGUGUGUGAAGAAGGCCUGCGGGUUGUAAAGCACUUUCAGUAGGGAA
RNAcentral lists this ribosomal RNA (425 nucleotides) under uncultured bacterium. RNAcentral describes it as "bacterial SSU rRNA". It matches the Rfam family "Bacterial small subunit ribosomal RNA", at positions 29 to 446 of the family's 1533-position model. The record is from RNAcentral.